RNAcentral lists this unclassified non-coding RNA (71 nucleotides) under Rhodococcus jostii. The record is from RNAcentral. Lineage: Bacteria; Bacillati; Actinomycetota; Actinomycetes; Mycobacteriales; Nocardiaceae.
GUAAGCCGUGUGCGGGAGAGCCGCAUGCACGGAUUGACGGGCGGGAGCUGGAAACGGAGCACCCUGGCCAC